AGUUUUCAAACAACUCCAAGAUGACCCUUGGAAAAUAAAGAGGUUCCUAUUUUUCCAUAUGAGUCAAGCUAACAGUCUAAAAAGCGUAAGCCAAGGAGCCCCAUUCCUCAACAAUGACCCUGAGUUCCUCAAAUUUAUCCUCACGCAGUCCAAGAGAAAAGUCGAAAAUAACUGGGAUUGGCAGUUUCUUGGAACGAAGUACGCCCAC
RNAcentral lists this long non-coding RNA (208 nucleotides) under Gossypium barbadense (sea-island cotton). Its description in RNAcentral is "long non-coding RNA (GBAR_LNC019759)". The record is from RNAcentral. Lineage: Eukaryota; Viridiplantae; Streptophyta; Magnoliopsida; Malvales; Malvaceae.